UUGCCUAAUGCCGCGGUGCAUUCAGUUCAGCAUCAGUCCACCUGCUGUCCGGGUGCCAAUCUGCUUUGCUUGUCCAGCAAUGACACACCGCAGCCUGAAGUUUCCUUCGUCCUCGCUCCUGCUGCUCCUCGCUAUGCUUCUCUGCCUGUUCGCAGGACUUGCGAACAGUUGUUGCCGCUGCUGUUUGGGCGAAAGUUGCACGGACCUCAACUGCUGCCCCUGGUGUCCAAGCGCAGUGACUUUAGAUUGGAGGACGAUCUCUUGAAGGAUGAAACCCGUUGCACUAUGUAUACAUUUUUGAUCCAAAUAACGCUUUCAACAAAUUUAUUUCCCGUUUGCAAUAUUUCAAUGUCCAUAAUCAUAUGGGACUGACGAUAAAAUCGAUUGUUUCGAGGACCAGGUU
Drosophila melanogaster (fruit fly) is the source of this 403-nucleotide non-coding RNA. Lineage: Eukaryota; Metazoa; Arthropoda; Insecta; Diptera; Drosophilidae. The record is from Ensembl.